GGUCCAGACUCCUACGGGAGGCAGCAGUGGGGGAUAUUGCACAAUGGGGGGAACCCUGAUGCAGCGACGCCGCGUGGGUGAAGGAGCGUUUCGGCGCGUAAAGCCCUAUCGGCAGGGAAGAAGGAGGACGGUACCUGACUAAGAAGCCCCGGCUAACUACGUGCCAGCAGCCGCGGUAAUACGUAGGGGGCAAGCGUUAUCCGGAUUUACUGGGUGUAAAGGGGGCGCAGACGGCAGCGCAAGCCAGGGGUGAAAGGCCGGGGCCCAACCCCGGGACUGCUCUUGGAACUGCGCGGCUGGAGUGCAGGAGGGGCAGGCGGAAUUCCUGGUGUAGCGGUGAAAUGCGUAGAUAUCAGGAGGAACACCGGUGGCGAAGGCGGCCUGCUGGACUGCGACUGACGUUGAGGCCCGAAAGCGUGGGGAGCAAACAGGAUUAGAUACCCUUGUAUCA
This 451-nucleotide ribosomal RNA is filed under the name uncultured bacterium. RNAcentral describes it as "bacterial SSU rRNA". It matches the Rfam family "Bacterial small subunit ribosomal RNA", at positions 328 to 795 of the family's 1533-position model. The record is from RNAcentral.